AUUGAACGCUGGCGGCAGGCCUAACACAUGCAAGUCGAGCGGAGCGGCGGACGGGUGAGUAAUGCCUAGGAAUCUGCCUGGUAGUGGGGGAUAACGUCCGGAACAGGUAGCUAAUACCUCAUACCAUCGGAUGUGCCCAGAUGGGAUUAGCUAGUAGGUGGGGUAAUGGCUCACCUAGGCGACGAUCCCUAGCUGGUCUGAGAGGAUGAUCAGUCACACUGGAACUGAGACACGGUCCAGACUCCUACGGGAGGAAGCAGUGGGGAAUAUUGGACAAUGGGCGAAAGCCGGAUCCAGCCAUGCCGCGUGUGUGAAGAAGGUCUUCGGAUUGUAAAGCACUUUAAGUUGGGAGGCGUUACCAACAGAAUAAGCACCGGCUAACUUCGUGCCAGCAGCCGCGGUAAUUC
Molecule: ribosomal RNA, 407 nt
Filed under: uncultured bacterium
Lineage: Bacteria
Description: partial 16S ribosomal RNA
Rfam family: Bacterial small subunit ribosomal RNA
Source: RNAcentral